This 492-nucleotide ribosomal RNA is filed under the name uncultured bacterium. Its description in RNAcentral is "partial 16S ribosomal RNA". It matches the Rfam family "Bacterial small subunit ribosomal RNA", at positions 29 to 507 of the family's 1533-position model. The record is from RNAcentral.
AGUGAACGCUGGCGGUAGGCCUAACACAUGCAAGUCGAACGGCAGCACAGUAAGCGCUUGCUCUUACGGGUGGCGAGUGGCGGACGGGUGAGGAAUACAUCGGAAUCUACUUUUUCGUGGGGGAUAACGUAGGGAAACUUACGCUAAUACCGCAUACGACCUACGGGUGAAAGCAGGGGAUCUUCGGACCUUGCGCGAUUGAAUGAGCCGAUGUCGGAUUAGCUAGUUGGCGGGGUAAAGGCCCACCAAGGCGACGAUCCGUAGCUGGUCUGAGAGGAUGAUCAGCCACACUAGAACUGAGACACGGUCCAGACUCCUAAGGGAGGCAGCAGUGGGGAAUAUUGGACAAUGGGCGCAAGCCUGAUCCAGCCAUCCCGCGUGGGUGAAGAAGGCCUUCGGGUUGUAAAGCCCUUUUGUCGGGAAAGAAAAGCAGCAGGUUAAUACCGGGCUGUUAUGACGGUACCCAAAGAAUAAGCACCGGCUAACUACGUG